This 3199-nucleotide long non-coding RNA is filed under the name Ananas comosus (pineapple). Its description in RNAcentral is "long non-coding RNA (ACOM_LNC012715)". The record is from RNAcentral. Lineage: Eukaryota; Viridiplantae; Streptophyta; Magnoliopsida; Poales; Bromeliaceae.
GAUGAUAACCAUAUCAAGGUUUUUUUUUUUUUUUUUUUGAGAAUAGGUAGCACGCUACCUGCUUCAUUCAAUGGAAGGGUGAAUUAGGCUACAGAGGUGAGGCAUCGAGGGCCUCGUGAACACAUUAAAAAAAAAAAAAGAAAAAAAAAGAAAAAAAGAAGAAGCAUAUAUAUAUAUAUGUAUAUAUAUAUACAUAUGUAUAUGUAUAUAUAUAUGUAUAUAUAUAUACAUAUAUAUAUAUACAUAUACAUGUAUAUAUAUAUAUAUAUGUAAAGAAGGCAAUUAAGGAAGGUCUAUCCAAGAGUCAAUCAGGAACUUGAGCCUGCGCACCACAGUUACUGGGUCAAACUGUAUGCCUCGAAAGAUAACGUCGUUCCUAACUUUCCAAAUGGUCCACCAGCACGCUGCUAACUCGGGUAAUCCGUGCCUCCUAUUUAGUCCACCAUCCCUACGUCUCCACCUAUCCCAGACUUCAAGUACAUCAUCACCCAAUUCCCCGGACUGAACUUCUUCGAGUCCCGCGACCAUGAUAUACUUGGUAAAGACACAUUGAGUGAAUAGAUGAUCCACAGACUCGUCAUGAACCGUACACAGCGCACAAGUCGUACUUCCAGACCACCCUGUCAGACUGAGGUUGACCGCCGUAAGAGUUCUUUUCUUAAGGACAAGCCAACAGAACACUUUGAUCUUGAGUGGGAUUCGGAGUCUCCAAACCAAGCUACUCCGCCCGUCUCUCGUGCCCCUGUCGUUCAAUAUGCGAUAGGUCGAUCGUACUGAGAAUAUAUUAUUAGUAUCCCAUCUCCACCCUAUCCUGUCCUCUGUCUGUCCAAUACAAACGCUAGAAACUCUCUCUUUGAGUUUUGAGAGGGUGCAACGCAAGCUCGGUGUAACAGAAGUUUCCUCGCCCAAGAUCCUAUUCCAAUCCCAAUCGUUGCCGCCAAAGCAAUCCCGGACCAGGAUGGGUUUUCGAACCGGCUGUGUGAACAACUCCGGGAAGGACGCUUGGAGUGUGGUAUUCCCACACCAUCUGUCAAGCCAAAAAUCAACCGAUGCCCCAUUACCCAGAUGAUAGUUGGUCCCCCAUUUGAAAAUAUCCUUGGUGGCAAGCACCCCCUUCCACCAGUAUGAAGACGGCCGGAAACCUCUCCCCUCCCACAGCGGUCUUCUUCUUCGGUAGUACAAAGCACGGAUAAGCUUGAUCCACGGCAAAUUGGAUAUAGUAUAGUAUCUCCACCACCAUUUGACUAGGAGAGCCGUAUUCAUGUCGGCUAUAUCUAGGAUGCCUAAACCACCUGCCCGUUUGCUCAAACAGACAUUUUUCCAUGCGACCAGACACCCCCUGCCAGGGAUGUCGCAUUGGCCACUCCAAAAGAAAUCCCUGCGUAGUGCUUCGAUGCGCUUGAUGACCCAUUUGGGUGCCUUGAACACUGUCAGGAAGUACAGUGGCAGAUUGGUGAGCACCGCAUUGACAAGGAUAAGUCUACCCCCUCUCGAGAGAAGUUUGGCCUGCCAUGCACCCGUCUAUUCUGUGCUGUAUUUUCUGAAUAACCCCUCUCCAGUCCUCCUUUGUGGGGGGUUUUGGUGAGAGUGGUAGACCUAGAUACGUGGUAGGGAGGGAACCAACUUUACAAUCGAGCAACUGCGCAAGUCUCUCCGCUUUACCCUCAAUCCGUCCUAGGUAGUAAAGCUCGGACUUUUCUCUGUUGAUUUUCAACCCAGAUGCCCACUCGAAGAGAUUCCACAUCAGUCGGAUAUUUCUCAUAAAUCGUUUUCUAGCCACGGAGAAGAAGAACGUAUCGUCCGCGAACUGUGUAAGUGCCGUUAAACUCUCGUGUGAAGGGCCAAUCCCCAUGAAGAGGUUGUUUGAGAUUGCCAUGCUGGACAAUCUAGCGAGACACUCCGCCACCAGCAGGAACAGGAAUGGUGAGAGUGGAUCUCCUUGACGUACCCCUCUCUUAGUUUUGAUCCAGUUAGUUGCCUCACCAUUAACUAAAAUGGCUACCUUAGCGUUGCACACACAUUGUUUGAUCCAUUCACACCACUGCUCCUCGAAUCCCCACCAUCGGAGAAUGCUGAAGAGAAAGGGCCAGUAAAUUCUAUCGUAGGCCUUUUCGAAGUCCACUUUUAUGCCAACUCCCUCAAUGGCCUCCUUACAACCCCCCCAAUUAGUUCAGAGACUGUUACGUACGCGUCGGUAAUGUUUCUCCCUUUUAAGAAAGCGGAUUGAGAGGGAGAGAUUAACUCAUUCAUAACAGCAGCUAGUCGAUUUGCGAGGACCUUCGAAAUAAUCUUUUGGAUUCCGUUUAUAAGACUGAUCGGCCGGAACUCGUUAGCCCUUUCCGCCCCUUCUCUCUUAGGGAUGAGACAGAUGAAUGAGUAAUCAAAAGGAGCAAUCGAAAUCCUGCCUUCAUAUAGAAAGACCAAUGAGUAAUCAAAAGGAGCAGUCGAAAUCCUCCAUAUCAAGGUUGAUGGUGAUAAUAUUUGAUCUAGAAAGACCAAUGCCCAUCUUUAGGUAUACCCAUCCCUUUCUUCUAACAUUGAGAUAUUUAUAUAACCAUGCCUUAAUUCAAUCCUUUUCAUAGGUAAUACUCUUUUUCAACUUACGAAAAGAUUGCAUUAUGUGCGGUAAAAAAAUAUUACAGAAAAAUAUAAUAUUUGUUUCCAUACGUGAUAUCAGAUUUCACAUAUUGUAAUAAAUUAAUUACGAUAUAUUUUCUAUAGUCAUACCAAAGAAUAAAAAAGUAUAUUUUUAUAAGCUUUUGUCCCGAUAUUUUUUUGGUUUAAUAGCAUUAAAUAGGUGUCAAUCUCAGGUGAGGCCUAAAUUAUGUAGUGAACUCUUAUUCAUGGAAUUAAUAUUGCUCAAGUAUCCAAAAUAACAAAAAUAAAUAAAAAUAGGGAAAGAAUAAAAACUCUCACUCUCACUCUUCGUGGUUUCGUGGUGAUUUGGUUUAUAUGGUGCGAGACAUUUAAUAAAGUGAAAAACAAGGCAUUAUAUCUCAUGGCCCUAAUGAAAAGGGUUUCAAAGCGUUCCUUCGUUGAAGGAUUUUUCAUCUUUUUUCGACUUGGCAUUAUAUCUCAUGGCCCUAAUGAAAAGGGUCUUUUUCAUCUUUUUCCGACUAUCUUUGGAUCUUUUUUACUUUAGCAUUGUUUUCUUUCUUGCUGUUCGUCUUUCGCCUCGGAAGCCUGAGCUUUUUCCAUA